This 413-nucleotide RNase P RNA is filed under the name Melioribacter roseus P3M-2. Its description in RNAcentral is "Bacterial RNase P class A". It matches the Rfam family "Bacterial RNase P class A". Rfam says of the family: Ribonuclease P (RNase P) is a ubiquitous endoribonuclease, found in archaea, bacteria and eukarya as well as chloroplasts and mitochondria. Its best characterised activity is the generation of mature 5'-ends of tRNAs by cleaving the 5'-leader elements of precursor-tRNAs. Cellular RNase Ps are ribonucleoproteins. Lineage: Bacteria; Pseudomonadati; Ignavibacteriota; Ignavibacteria; Ignavibacteriales; Melioribacteraceae. The record is from Rfam by way of RNAcentral. RNAcentral also lists the same sequence under 1 other name.
GAAUCGUGUUGGGCAGUUGCCCCGAUAUGUAAGGGGAGGAAAGUCCGAACUCCGCAGAACAAGGUGCCGGGUAACGCCCGGGGUUCCGGUUAAACCGGAACACGGAUAGUGCCACAGAAAACAGACCGCCCUGACUUUAGUUGGGGUAAGGGUGAAAAGGUGAGGUAAGAGCUCACCGCUUCGGCAGUAAUGCAGGAGGUCCCGUUACGGGAUCCCGCCUCCGGCGGGACAAGGUAAACCCCACCUGGAGCAAGGUCAAGCAGAAGGUCUUCCCGUUUUGACGGGAAAAGGUUGUUCGCCUUUAGCGCCUUCGGGUAGACCGCUGGAACCCGGUAGUAAUGCCGGGUCUAGAUAAAUAACUGCCGUCCGCCUCAGGCGGAUUACAGAAUUCGGCUUACAGACACGAUUCAUCU